RNAcentral lists this long non-coding RNA (968 nucleotides) under Homo sapiens (human). Its description in RNAcentral is "HSALNT0375368". The record is from RNAcentral. Lineage: Eukaryota; Metazoa; Chordata; Mammalia; Primates; Hominidae.
GGGAGCCCCGCGUGUCACCGCCGCGGUCGUCGGGGAGCCCCGGGGCUCACCAACGAGGUCACCUGGGAGCCCCGCGGGUCACCGCCGCGGUCACCUGGAAGUGUCACCUGUGUCACUAGGUCACCUAGUGUAUCACACAGGUCACCUAGAAAUUCGUGUCACCGCCAAGGUCACCUAGAAAUUCGUGUCACCGCCGAGGUCCCCUGGGAGCCCCGCGGGUGCCGCACAAGUGCCCCCGCCCUUCCCCCCGGUUCCGGGUCUCCACGCCCUCCUGGUUUGCGGGCAGCCGCGAAGCCGCGAGUGGACCGAGCGAGUGCAGCUGCCUCCGCGGGGCCGCGCCUGGCCGCCGCCUCCCUUUACCUCCGGCCGCCCCGUGGCAGGUGUAGAAGCUGCAGAGGCCGCAGCAGCCCAGCGCGCCCCUUCCGUGUGGCCGCAUGCCACCCGCGCCGCGCCCAGCAUUCCAGCGUCCAACAGAGCAUGCGUGCACCAUUCCAGCAUCCGGCAACAAUGCACCAGCAUUCCAGCGUCCAACAGAGCAUCCGUGUACCAUUCCGGCAUUUGGCAACAAUGCACCAGCAUUCCAGAGUCCAACAGGGCAUGCGUGCACCAUUCCAGCAUCCGGCAACAAUGCACCAGCAUUCCAGCGUCCAACAGAGCGUGCGUGCACCAUUCCAGCAUCCGGCAACAAUGCACCAGCAUUCCAGCGUCCAAAAGAGCAUCCGGCAACAUCCCGGUGUCCAGUGGCACAUGUGCACCUGGACGUUCCAGUGUGGUGAGCUUUCAGGCACGGAGCAAGGCCAAAGGGAUAAAAAGAUGAAGGUGACGCAGUACUCCCCCUUAUAGUGCCUACAGGCCUUAUAGGCCAGACAGAUCUGGAAAUAAAUAAUUCAUAAUAAAAAAUAAUUACAGAAUAAGAGGCAUAAUAACCAGAUAGAAAGUAUUGAAUAAAUCUGUAAGAAAUGGCUGCU